RNAcentral lists this ribosomal RNA (301 nucleotides) under uncultured bacterium. RNAcentral's name for it is "partial 16S ribosomal RNA". It matches the Rfam family "Bacterial small subunit ribosomal RNA", at positions 509 to 807 of the family's 1533-position model. The record is from RNAcentral.
CAGUCGCCACGGGAAUACGAAGGGUGCAAGCGUUAAUCGGAAUUACUGGGCGUAAAGCGUGCGUAGGCGGUGAGUUAAGUCUGCUGUGAAAUCCCCGGGCUCAACCUGGGAAUGGCAGUGGAUACUGGCUUGCUAGAGUGUGUCAGAGGAUGGUGGAAUUCCCGGUGUAACGGUGAAAUGCGUAGAGAUCGGGAGGAACAUCAGUGGCGAAGGCGGCCAUCUGGGACAACACUGACGCUGAGGCACGAAAGCGUGGGGAGCAAACAGGAUUAGAUACCCCCGUAGUCCCUGUCUCUUAUAC